UGGGGAAUAUUGGACAAUGGGCGAAAGCCUGAUCCAGCCAUGCCGCGUGUGUGAAGAAGGUCUUCGGAUUGUAAAGCACUUUAAGUUGGGAGGAAGGGCAGUAAGCGAAUACCUUGCUGUUUUGACGUUACCGACAGAAUAAGCACCGGCUAACUCUGUGCCAGCAGCCGCGGUAAUACAGAGGGUGCAAGCGUUAAUCGGAAUUACUGGGCGUAAAGCGCGCGUAGGUGGUUCGUUAAGUUGAAUGUGAAAGCCCCGGGCUCAACCUCGGAACUGCAUCCAAAACUGGAGAGCUAUAGUAGGGCAGAGGGUGGUGGAAUUUCCUGUGUAGCGGUGAAAUGCGUAGAUAUAGGAAGGAACACCAGUGGCGAAGGCGACCACCUGGGCUCAUACUGACACUGAGGUGCGAAAGCGUGGGGAGCAAACAGG
RNAcentral lists this ribosomal RNA (429 nucleotides) under Pseudomonadota bacterium. RNAcentral describes it as "Proteobacteria bacterium partial 16S ribosomal RNA". It matches the Rfam family "Bacterial small subunit ribosomal RNA", at positions 355 to 776 of the family's 1533-position model. Lineage: Bacteria; Pseudomonadati; Pseudomonadota. The record is from RNAcentral.